GGGACCGCGGUGACUGUAGCGGGGGUAAGUAGGGGGGGUGUAGUGGUGUUGGGAAUGGUUGGGCGUACAGGGCGCGUAGGCGUGUUCUUACGUCGGAUGGGCACUCCCUGGGCGCAAGCCAGGAACGGCAUCCUAGACGGGGAGGGUAGAGUACUGGAGAGGUUGGUGGAAUGCCUCGUGUAGCGGUGAAAUGCGUAGAGAUGAGGAGGAACACCAGUGGCGAAGGCGGCCAACUGGACAGUAACUGACGCUGAGGCGCGAAAGCGUGGGUAGCAAACAGGAUUAGAUACCCGGGUAGUC
Molecule: ribosomal RNA, 300 nt
Filed under: uncultured Ferroglobus sp.
Lineage: Archaea; Methanobacteriati; Methanobacteriota; Archaeoglobi; Archaeoglobales; Archaeoglobaceae
Description: bacterial SSU rRNA
Rfam family: Bacterial small subunit ribosomal RNA (bases 52-300)
Source: RNAcentral